Molecule: ribosomal RNA, 450 nt
Filed under: uncultured bacterium
Lineage: Bacteria
Description: bacterial SSU rRNA
Rfam family: Bacterial small subunit ribosomal RNA
Source: RNAcentral
AGGUGCUGCAUGGCUGUCGUCAGCUCGUGUCGUGAGAUGUUGGGUUAAGUCCCGCAACGAGCGCAACCCUUGUCUGCUGUUGCCAUCACGUUAUGGUGGGCACUCUGCAGAGACUGCCGGUGAUAAACCGGAGGAAGGUGGGGAUGACGUCAAGUCAGCAUGGCCUUUAUGUCUGGGGCUACACACGUGCUACAAUGGCCGAUACAAACCGUCGCGAUACCGUCAGGUGGAGCUAAUCGGAGAAAGCUCGGUCUCAGUUCGGAUUGCAGGCUGCAACUCGCCUGCAUGAAGUUGGAAUCGCUAGUAAUCGCGGAUCAGCACGCCGCGGUGAAUACGUUCCCGGGCCUUGUACACACCGCCCGUCACAUCACGAAAGCCGGUUGUACUAGAAGUCGCCAUACCAACCCGCAAGGGAGGGAGGCGCCUAAGGUAUGGUCGGUGAUUGGGGUG